GAUGAAGAACGCAGCGAAAUGCGAUAAGUAGUGUGAAUUGCAGAAUUCAGUGAAUCAUCGAAUCUUUGAACGCACAUUGCGCCCCAUGGUAUUCCGUGGGGCAUGCCUGUUCGAGCGUCAUUUACCCCCUCAAGCUCCGCUUGGUGUUGGGUGACUGUCCGCCGCCUCCGGGCGCGUGGACUCGCCUCAAAAUUAUUGGCGGCCGGUACAUUGGCUUCGAGCGCAGCAGAAACGCGAACUCGGGCCCGUCGUAUUGGCUCCCAGAAGCUAUCUUCACAAUUUUGACCUCGGAUCAGGUAGGGAUACCCGCUGAACUUAAGCAUAUCAAUAAGCGGAGGAA
Molecule: unclassified non-coding RNA, 340 nt
Filed under: soil metagenome
Description: partial contains 5.8S ribosomal RNA, internal transcribed spacer 2, and large subunit ribosomal RNA
Rfam family: 5.8S ribosomal RNA (bases 1-120)
Source: RNAcentral